AGAAAAGAAGCUGCUCUUUUGCCUGGUCUAUGGUAAGUCCAUAACACUUACCCCAGUUCCUCUGCGUGGUUGGCCAGGGCUUUGAGCUAGUUGUGGGAGCCAAGGAGGCUUGUGUUCCCACACUUCCAAAUAGGAGAGCUCAACUCUAGCAUGGGGUGCCUGAGAGGGUUAGAGACCUUUGGAUAACCUAGUCACCGGGGGCCGGAGGACUGAGCAGUGGUUCCCAGUUUUAGAGACCCAGCUAGGGUUCUGCAGGUAGGUCUCAGUUGAGUCCUGGCUCCUCCCAUCUGCUAGAUGGCCUUGGGCUAGUCAUCUUGGAUUCCAUAGUUGCUAACAUGCUCAACUUGAAUGUCUGAAAUCUUCUGACCGUGGAUGACCCUGGGUGUCUCCUCCUUUCUAAAACAGGGCUUUGAAGUUGGGGCCACUUUUGUUAGGACUCCCAAGCUGCCACUUCCAAGCUCUAGGACUUUGACAGAUUUCCUCAUCUGUAAGCCGGGGAUAAUAUACCCACCUCAAGGAGUUGCCGAGGGCGCUGAAUAGAUCCUGACUGUGGAAAGCACAGAGGCACCCCGAGUGUGGGCUGUCCCCAACGGCACGUGUAUUGGAGCAUGCGUGGGGGCAGUGCAUGCAAGAGUGUGGGCAGGUGUGUGACUGAGAAUGAGCACCCACCCGCGGCUGCAACUCGAGUCUGUUUCCAUGAGACACUGGGCCUCUGCUUUCUUUUCAAGGUCCGUUAGGUGAAAUUCUGAUAUGUAAGCAUUUCUGCCCAUGGCUCCUCCAAAUCUUUCUGAAUCAUUUCUUUUUACUGUGGUGGAGAGUGAACCUAGGACCCCAAGCAUGUCAGCAACUGUACAAGACCACAUCUUGCUGACAUUUGCCGCCCCACUCCCACCUUUUUUGAGGAGGGUAAACCGCCGCCAUCCCUGAGUGGUACCAAGAUGGCUGCCUCAACUCCAGGUAUCUGACACAAGCAACAGCGUG
Molecule: long non-coding RNA, 981 nt
Organism: Peromyscus leucopus (white-footed mouse)
Lineage: Eukaryota; Metazoa; Chordata; Mammalia; Rodentia; Cricetidae
Exons: 3
Source: RefSeq, a predicted model, not a curated record